Camellia sinensis is the source of this 246-nucleotide non-coding RNA. The record is from RefSeq and is a predicted model, not a curated record. NCBI's taxonomy places the organism in Eukaryota, Viridiplantae, Streptophyta, Magnoliopsida, Ericales, Theaceae.
UUCAUAUUCGUAUUCGUAUCCUAGAGAGAGAAACUUCACAGAGCUAGAGAGAGAGAGAAAGAGAGAAAAUUCCUCUCUACUUGUUCUUCUACUUGCUAAUUUUCUGGAUUUGUGUUCUUCAUGAUCGUGCUUUUCUUCAACGGAGAUUGAAUUUCACACUCUAACUUGUUGUGGAAAUGAAAGAGACCGAGAUGGGAAGUAAAGAUGAAUUAAUGGAGGCUCUCAAGAAGGAAGCUGUUGAUUUGG